GCGAAAGUGGCGGAAUCGGUAGACGCACUGGAUUUAGGUUCCAGCGCCGAAAGGCAUGGGGGUUCGAGUCCCUCCUUUCGCACCA
RNAcentral lists this transfer RNA (85 nucleotides) under Betaproteobacteria bacterium. RNAcentral's name for it is "tRNA-Leu". It matches the Rfam family "tRNA". Rfam says of the family: Transfer RNA (tRNA) molecules are approximately 80 nucleotides in length. Their secondary structure includes four short double-helical elements and three loops (D, anti-codon, and T loops). Lineage: Bacteria; Pseudomonadati; Pseudomonadota; Betaproteobacteria. The record is from RNAcentral.